UGGGGGAAAAUUAAUAUAAUAAAAUAAAUAAUAAAAAUAAUUAUAAAAAAUAAUUAAUGGGGGUUAAAGUAUUUUUUAGAAAAAAUUUAUUAAUUUAUAGUUUAAUAGUAUUGUGAAAGAAUUUUGAAAUAAAGUUAAAUAUGGAUUAUUAUUUAAGUAAAUUUAAUUUAUUGUAUCUUGUGUAUCAGAGUUUAUUAAUAAAAUAUUUUUAAAUAAAAAUAUCUCGAAUUUAAAAGAGAUAGUUAAUUAUUAAAGUUAAUGUGACAUAAUUAUUUUAAAUAAUUAAUUUGAAAUGAAAUGUUAAUCGUUUUUAAAAAUAUCUAGUUUUUUUAGAAAAAAAUUUAAUUUUAAAUUAAUUUAAUAAUUUUUUAAAUUUGUUAUAUAAAAUUAUAUAUUUAAUUAAAUAUUUUAAGGGAUAAGCUUUAAAUUAAAUUUUUAUAAUAUCAAUAAAUUAUUUAAAUAUUUUAAAAUUUAUAUUUUUUAUAAAUUAUAAUUUUUUAUAAAUAAUUUUAUUUAUUUUAAAAUUUAAAUUUAUAUUUAAAUUUAUAUAAAAAAAUAAUUUUUAAUAAUAAAAAAUUAGUUAUAAUUAUAAAAUUAGUAUAUAAAAAAAAAAUAAAAUAAAAUUAAUUAAAAUUAAUAAAAAGGAAUUCGGCAAAAAU
RNAcentral lists this ribosomal RNA (659 nucleotides) under Colias meadii (Mead's sulphur). Its description in RNAcentral is "partial 16S ribosomal RNA". The record is from RNAcentral. Lineage: Eukaryota; Metazoa; Arthropoda; Insecta; Lepidoptera; Pieridae.